GGCCAGACUCCUAAGGGAGGCAGCAGUGGGGGCUCUUGCACAAUGGGGGCAACCCUGAUGCCGCGACGCCGCGUGGGUGAAGAAGCGCCUCGGCGCGUAACGCCCUGUCAGCAGGGAAGAAAAUGACGGUACCUGAAGAAGAAGCCCCGGCUAACUACGUGCCAGCAGCCGCGGUAAUACGUAGGGGGCAAGCGUUAUCCGGAUUUACUGGGUGUAAAGGGGGCGCAGACGGCGAUGCAAGCCAGGAGUGAAAGCCCGGGGCCCAACCCCGGGACUGCUCUUGGAACUGCGUGGCUAGAGUGCGGGAGGGGCAGGCGGAAUUCCUGGUGUAGCGGUGAAAUGCGUAGAUAUCAGGAGGAACACCGGUGGCGAAGGCGGCCUGCUGGACUGCAACUGACGUUGAGGCCCGAAAGCGUGGUGAGCAAACAGGAUUAGAUACCCUAGUAC
This 447-nucleotide ribosomal RNA is filed under the name uncultured bacterium. RNAcentral's name for it is "partial 16S ribosomal RNA". It matches the Rfam family "Bacterial small subunit ribosomal RNA", at positions 329 to 793 of the family's 1533-position model. The record is from RNAcentral.